UACGAAGGGUGCAAGCGUUGUCCGGAAUUAUUUGGCGUAAAGAGCUCGUAGGCGGUUUGUCGCGUCGGAUGUGAAAGCCCGGGGCUUAACUCCGGGUCUGCAUUCGAUACGGGCAGGCUAGAGUGUGGUAGGGGAGAUCGGAAUUCCUGGUGUAGCGGUGAAAUGCGCAGAUAUCAGGAGGAACACCGGUGGCGAAGGCGGAUCUCUGGGCCAUUACUGACGCUGAGGAGCGAAAGCGUGGGGAGCGAACAGG
RNAcentral lists this ribosomal RNA (253 nucleotides) under uncultured bacterium. RNAcentral describes it as "partial 16S ribosomal RNA". It matches the Rfam family "Bacterial small subunit ribosomal RNA", at positions 524 to 776 of the family's 1533-position model. The record is from RNAcentral.